Molecule: RNA transcript, 1640 nt
Organism: Erinaceus europaeus (western European hedgehog)
Lineage: Eukaryota; Metazoa; Chordata; Mammalia; Eulipotyphla; Erinaceidae
Gene: MEAF6
Gene name: MYST/Esa1 associated factor 6
Exons: 9
Source: RefSeq, a predicted model, not a curated record
UAGAGCCCGCCCCCAGCUUGGCGCCGCCGCCGGCCUCAGCCCAACAUGGCGAUGCACAACAAGGCGGCACCGCCGCAGAUCCCGGACACCCGGCGGGAGCUGGCGGAGCUCGUGAAGCGCAAGCAGGAGCUGGCGGAAACACUGGCCAACUUGGAGAGACAGAUCUAUGCUUUUGAAGGAAGCUAUCUGGAAGACACUCAGAUGUAUGGCAAUAUUAUUCGAGGCUGGGACCGGUAUCUGACCAACCAAAAAAACUCCAAUAGCAAAAACGAUCGAAGGAACCGGAAAUUUAAGGAAGCUGAGCGGCUCUUCAGUAAAUCCUCAGUUACUUCAGCAGCUGCAGUAAGUGCAUUGGCGGGAGUUCAGGACCAGCUCAUUGAAAAAAGAGAGCCAGGAAGUGGGACAGAAAGUGAUACUUCUCCAGACUUCCACAAUCAGGAAAAUGAGCCCAGCCAAGAGGACCCUGAGGAUCUGGAUGGAUCUGUGCAAGGAGUGAAACCUCAGAAGGCUGCUUCUUCUACUUCCUCAGGGAGUCAUCACAGCAGCCAUAAAAAACGAAAGAAUAAAAACCGACACAGCCCGUCUGGCAUGUUUGAUUAUGACUUUGAGUAUGUAUAUUAGGUUAGGCUGGGAAGUUUUUUUUAAAAACAGAAAAACGUGAUGGAGGAUCGAUCUGAAGUUAAACAAAAAACCAAGAGCUGAUUAUUAGAAGACUCCAUAGUGCAGAAGCUUCCAGACUAUAGAGCUCUGCUUCCCUCCUCUGACCUCACACCACAAAGAUAAAACAUCCCUCACCUGAAUGCGUGGCCAUCCACUUCUGCUUUCCCAGACCCAGUGCCUGUGACUGAGUAGUUUGUUUUGAAAUGUGGUGACAAACAAGUUAUUUCCAUAGGACAACAUCAGAUCAUUUACUUUGUGUCAUUUUUAGUAACAGAACUGCAGGAAGACCAGGACAUGGUUGUAAUCCGGCAAGUUGCUAACUGUGCAUUUCUCCCUUCUUGAAAUGAAUGUCUCUCUCCUCACUAAUUGGCGGGCACCACCUCCAUUUGUGAUACCCAUUGAGAAAUGUUCUCUGGUUUUGUUUUAAGCUGAAAGUAGAGCACAGGUCACAUUUCAGAGGGAGGCUGUAAAUAUUUGACAUUUUCUUAUUUUGUUUGUGUUUCAUUAUUUUUCUAUUGUUGUUUUUACCACCUGUCUUCUUCUGAGAUUUUUUUGUAAUGCUGUUGUACAACUCAGACCUUCCUGCUGCAUAUCUGAUAAUCCAUUUUGUGCAGUUGCCAAUAUUCUUAACUGAAAAUAAUCUGGUUUAUCAUAAAUAAAAUGGGGAAUUUGACUUUUUUUGCAGGGGGAAGGUAAAACAUGUUUAUUUAAUAAUUACCUAUCUUAAAUCUUUCUGAGUUGGAAGCAGUUUCAUGUUCAAGAAACAGGAAAAGCUGAAAAACAAAUUUAAAUCAGUACUUUAAAAAUAGAUAUUUUUAUUUUUUUGUAUAAAUAAAGUUUCAUAGGCUUUGAUGUUUCAUGAUUUAAAAACUGAGAUUGUUUUUUCACUUAUUUAUUUGUAUCAUGCCUUGUGGAAAUUUAUUUUUUCGUAUUUUCUUUACUGGUAUUUGCUUGAUUAAGAAUUGCUCCGAAAAUCACCA